ACGAACGCUGGCGGCAUGCCUAACACAUGCAAGUCGAACGAGACCUUCGGGUCUAGUGGCGCACGGGUGCGUAACGCGUGGGAACCUGCCCUUAGGUUCGGAAUAACUCCCCGAAAGGGGUGCUAAUACCGGAUAAUGUCUUCGGACCAAAGAUUUAUCGCCUUUGGAUGGGCCCGCGUUGGAUUGGCUAGUUGGUAGGGUAAAAGCCUACCAAGGCGACGAUCGAUAGCUGGUCUGAGAGGAUGAUCAGCCACACUGGGACUGAGACACGGCCCAGACUCCUACGGGAGGCAGCAGUGGGGAAUAUUGGACAAUGGGCGAAAGCCUGAUCCAGCAAUGCCGCGUGAGUGAUGAAGGCCUUAGGGUUGUAAAGCUCUUUUACCCGGGAUGAUAAUGACAGUACCGGGAGAAUAAGCUCCGGCUAACUCCGUG
RNAcentral lists this ribosomal RNA (432 nucleotides) under uncultured bacterium. RNAcentral describes it as "partial 16S ribosomal RNA". It matches the Rfam family "Bacterial small subunit ribosomal RNA", at positions 29 to 507 of the family's 1533-position model. The record is from RNAcentral.